This 163-nucleotide ribosomal RNA is filed under the name Tomentella sp. RNAcentral describes it as "partial small subunit ribosomal RNA". It matches the Rfam family "Eukaryotic small subunit ribosomal RNA", at positions 1639 to 1799 of the family's 1831-position model. The record is from RNAcentral. Lineage: Eukaryota; Fungi; Basidiomycota; Agaricomycetes; Thelephorales; Thelephoraceae.
CGUUGAUUACGUCCCUGCCCUUUGUACACACCGCCCGUCGCUACUACCGAUUGAAUGGCGUAGUGAGGUCGUCGGAUUGGCUUCGGAGGGCCGGCAACGGCCCAUUGUUGGUGAGAAGUUGAUCAAACUAGGUCAUUGAGAGGAAGUAAAAGUCGUAACAAGG